This is a long non-coding RNA of Gambusia affinis (western mosquitofish), 1617 nucleotides long. RefSeq lists it as uncharacterized. The transcript is spliced from 4 exons. Lineage: Eukaryota; Metazoa; Chordata; Actinopteri; Cyprinodontiformes; Poeciliidae. The record is from RefSeq and is a predicted model, not a curated record.
GAACAAGCAAACAUUCAAACACUCACUCCUGGUUUUCUUUCAGAUUUAAAUUUUUUUCUUUUUUUCCAAGGACAAAAAACUUGUCCUUGGAACCAUUUCCAAGGACAAGCCAGACCUUCGUUUGAAAGAAAAAAAAUAUUUUCAAGUUUAUGCUAUAGCAUCUAGAAGAGCGGUCCCCAACCUUUUUAUCACCUUGAACCGGUCAAGGCUUGACAACAGCCCGGGGGUGGUGGGGUGAUGAACUGUCAGACAAGGCUUUUGCAUGUUGGUGUGCCCGCUAAAGCAGGGGUGGGAAAUCCUGGCCCUCAAGGGCAGGUGUCCUGCAACUCUUGGAUGUCUCUCUGGUCCAACACACUUCAAUCAAAUAGAUGACUCACCUUCUAAGUGCAGUCAGGUUCUCCAGAGUCUUGCAAAUGACCUCGUUAUUUGACUCAGGUGUGUUGAAGUAGAGACACACCUAAAAGUUGCAGGAGACCGACCCUCGAGGCCUGGAGUUCCCCACCCUUGCGCUAAAGCCAAGUUCACAUGGCACAAUUUUUAAUUUUUUGUCCCGAUUUUCAAAAUUCUAAGAUUGUCAACUUGCUUGCGAUACCGAUCAUCCUGCUUGUGUGGUGUGCUAUGACUGAUCGGAUUCAAUUGGUAAAACGUCGGACCACUCAAAUAAAAAAUUGAAUAGGGGUGCAGUGCGUUGGUGAAGAAUAAAUCUUCCAUAUUGUUGGCCUCCCUAACACAGGUUAUAACAGCCAGACCUCCUGUUUGAAAAGAAGUGUGUUACCUAAUAUAUAUGAGGUAUAUGUCUUAACUAUACAUUUUCUUUGAGAAAAAACAUUGACUAGGUUUUUCUUUCUUUGUAAUGUUUACUGAGAGCAAUUCAAGCUAAUGCUCCCUUGCUGUAAGUUAAUGUUAGUUAAAGUUAUUAAACUUCAUAGCUGUAAGGUUAGCUAUUAACUUUAAACAUAUUUUAAAGGCAGGCAAAUAGAUUUUUUCCCUCUAAUUUUAAUCAAGCAAAUUAAAAGCUACUAUGUUAGUCAACGUUAUAUUUAUUUAGCAACUUGGCUGAAGUGACAUAGUGCUUGUGUUCUUUGCUUUACUGACUUUAGCCACAUGAAGACCCAUUUUAACCAAAGGACAUGGUGGGGUGGAAAAAAGAAUGCUAAUGAAGAUGUGCUAGGGGUGUGGAGGAUGCUAACAAGGACCAGUCAUGAGAGAAAGAAAUCCCUGUUUGACCAAAGACAAAGAAGCAGAUGAAAUAUUCCCCAAGAAAUUUAGAAACUCCAGAAGACACAGAUGGAGGCCAAAAUCAUUUGGAUCUAUGACUACAUCACAAACAGAAAACAGUUGGUGAAACUGAAGGACUGUAUGUUUAACCAGCUACAUAAAGACCCAUUUUAGCCUAAGGACACCUGGUGGGGAGUGAGGUGGACAGAGAUGCCUAAUGAAGACAUGCUACAGUUGUGGACGGUGCUAAUGAGGACCAGCCAUGAGAGAAAGAAAUCCCUAUCUGGAAAUAUUGACUGUGAUGUCACAGCGCAGAUGGAUGACAAAACUGCCAGAUUACAUCCCCUCUCACGAAGACUGAAUUAGCAAGUCGUGAUCUGAGGAAAAACAUCAAUCUGC